GACGAACGCUGGCGGCGUGCUUAACACAUGCAAGUCGAACGGAAAGGCCCUGCUUUUGUGGGGUGCUCGAGUGGCGAACGGGUGAGUAACACGUGAGUAACCUGCCCUUGACUUUGGGAUAACUUCAGGAAACUGGGCUAAUACCGGAUAGGAGCUCCUGCUGCCUGGUGGGGGUUGGAAAGGUUCGGCGGUUGGGGAUGGACUCGCGGCUUAUCAGCUUGUUGGUGGGGUAGUGGCUUACCAAGGCUUUGACGGGUAGCCGGCCUGAGAGGGUGACCGGCCACAUUGGGACUGAGAUACGGCCCAGACUCCUACGGGAGGCAGCAGUGGGGAAUAUUGCACAAUGGGCGGAAGCCUGAUGCAGCAACGCCGCGUGCGGGAUGACGGCCUUCGGGUUGUAAACCGCUUUCGCCUGUGACGAAGCGUGAGUGACGGUAAUGGGUAAAGAAGCACCGGCUAACUACGUG
Molecule: ribosomal RNA, 467 nt
Filed under: uncultured bacterium
Lineage: Bacteria
Description: partial 16S ribosomal RNA
Rfam family: Bacterial small subunit ribosomal RNA
Source: RNAcentral